UGGAUGGAAUGACCAGGCAAAAGAGCUCUGGGGGUAUUCCUCCUCAUUCUGCUAUGAUUCCCGAGGCCUGAGCAGAUUAAAGAUAGGGUUGAUUCUGCAGUUAGGGGUAACUGCUCAGCUUGCGUCUUCAUCUCUCCUUCCGACUUCCCGAUGGGUAACCGACAUCUGAACCAUCCAUGUUUCCCCUGCAGAAUUACCUCGUCGGUCUAGAAGGAGAAAAAGCCAACAGAAACAUAAAAAGGAAAAACAUGAGGUGGUCCCCAUGGGUCAUGGCGCUCAGGACGGGAUGAGUCCCAAGGAUUUAAACUUCAGAGCCAACCAGCGAGGACAAUGGAUUGGAAUCGAACAAGCCUGGAGACAAUUCGGAGGAGGUUGUCACCAUAUUCGGUGUGCACGCUCUUCUGAGCGAAGCGCUAUGCAUCGAAUCCUGAAUGAAUCCUGAAUCACACCAAGCACACACCUGUCAUGGUAUGUUUUCUCCGUGUAGACAGGCUGACAUCAGCUUUGCUUCCAUUUAACCCAACGGGAAGCCACUAAGUCAUAUCAAGGUUGUGGGCACCUGCUCCACGAAAGUAAGUGCCCCCCCCAACCCCAGCCCAGAAGCCUCACUAGAGCAA
This is a non-coding RNA of Sus scrofa (pig), 617 nucleotides long. The record is from RefSeq and is a predicted model, not a curated record. NCBI's taxonomy places the organism in Eukaryota, Metazoa, Chordata, Mammalia, Artiodactyla, Suidae.